UUGAAAGGGAAACGAUUGAAGUCAGUCGUACCAGCGGGAAAUCAACCUUUCGAGUGGGGUUUUGGAGUUUUGAAGAGUGUCAAAACCCUUUGAGAUUUCAAAAUUUUCGCUCCUUUGGUGUACUUUCUCGUGGGUAGGUUAACAUCGAUUUCGAUCAUCAUAAAAGGAUUGGAGGAAUGUAGCUUCGAUCUUGUAUUGAAGUGUUAUAGCCUUUGGUAAAUGUGAUGAUUAGGAUCGAGGAUUGCAACGAAUACCCUUUUGGGCUAUCCGCCUGAUCUCUGAUACGUGGCCUUGGUAUCGAAAGCUUGCUUAUGGUAUUAAGGUAUUACGGUCAAAAGGUUAGAACGGAUUACAUUCGUUAAGGAUGUUGACGUA
Molecule: ribosomal RNA, 375 nt
Filed under: uncultured Glomeromycotina
Lineage: Eukaryota; Fungi; Glomeromycota
Description: LSU rRNA
Source: RNAcentral